AGUGAACGCUGGCGGUAGGCCUAACACAUGCAAGUCGAACGGCAGCACAGUAAGAGCUUGCUCUUACGGGUGGCGAGUGGCGGACGGGUGAGGAAUACAUCGGAAUCCACUUUUUCGUGGGGGAUAACGUAGGGAAACUUACUCUAAUACCGCAUACGACCUACGGGUGAAAGCAGGGGAUCUUCUGACCUUGCGCGAUUGAAUGAGCCGAUGUCGGAUUAGCUAGUUGGGGGGGGAAAGGCCCACCAAGGCGACGAUCCGUAGCUGGUCUGAGAGGAUGAUCGGCGGCAGGGGAGGUGAGACACGGUCCAGGGUACUACGGGAGGCAGCAGUGGGGAAUAUUGGACAAUGGGGGCGAGCCUGAUCCAGCCAUACGGCGUGGGUGAAGAAGGCGUUCGGGUUGUAAAGCCCUUUUGUUGGGAAAGAAAAGCAGCAGGUUAAUACCCCGCUGUUCUGACGGUACCCAAAGAAUAAGCACCGGCUAACUUCGUG
RNAcentral lists this ribosomal RNA (492 nucleotides) under uncultured bacterium. RNAcentral describes it as "partial 16S ribosomal RNA". It matches the Rfam family "Bacterial small subunit ribosomal RNA", at positions 29 to 507 of the family's 1533-position model. The record is from RNAcentral.